GCGUCCGGCCCUAUCAGCCUGAAGGCGCCCGGAUCUCGUCUGUAUCUCGGAAGCUAAGCAGGGUCGGGGCACUGGGUUAGGAUCUUGGAUGGGAGACCACCUGGGAAUCCCGGGUGCUCGAGCU
Molecule: ribosomal RNA, 124 nt
Filed under: Sus scrofa (pig)
Lineage: Eukaryota; Metazoa; Chordata; Mammalia; Artiodactyla; Suidae
Source: RNAcentral